This 75-nucleotide transfer RNA is filed under the name Candidatus Desantisbacteria bacterium CG_4_8_14_3_um_filter_40_12. RNAcentral's name for it is "tRNA-Glu". It matches the Rfam family "tRNA". From Rfam's summary of the family: Transfer RNA (tRNA) molecules are approximately 80 nucleotides in length. Their secondary structure includes four short double-helical elements and three loops (D, anti-codon, and T loops). Further hydrogen bonds mediate the characteristic L-shaped molecular structure. tRNAs have two regions of fundamental functional importance: the anti-codon, which is responsible for specific mRNA codon recognition, and the 3' end, to which the tRNAs corresponding amino acid is attached (by aminoacyl-tRNA synthetases). tRNAs cope with the degeneracy of the genetic code in two manners: having more than one tRNA (with a specific anti-codon) for a particular amino acid; and 'wobble' base-pairing, i.e. permitting non-standard base-pairing at the 3rd anti-codon position. Lineage: Bacteria; Candidatus Desantisiibacteriota. RNAcentral also lists the same sequence under 2 other names. The record is from RNAcentral.
GUCCCCAUUGACUAGGGGUUAGGUCACCACCCUUUCAAGGUGGCUGCGGGGGUUCAAAUCCCCCUGGGGACGCCA